ACAGUACAAACUGAACAGGCCGAUAGGAGCCGGGUCACAUUAGUGACAGUGGAUUAUUAUGUUUUUUAUGUAUUUAUAUACAAUAUGAGAUUUAUCAUAUAUCGUCAAAUGAUUGCUGAUAGAAAUUAUCAUAUCCACGGGACAGUA
Molecule: non-coding RNA, 147 nt
Submitted as: unclassified sequences
Source: Rfam